AAACUUAAAUGAAUUGACGGGACCCGCACAAGCGGUGGAUGAUGUGGUUUAAUUCGAUGCAACGCGAAAAACCUUACCUACCUUUGACAUGUACGGAAUUCGCCAGAGAUGGCUUAGUGCUCGAAAGAGAACCGUAACACAGGUGCUGCAUGGCUGUCGUCAGCUCGUGUCGUGAGAUGUUGGGUUAAGUCCCGCAACGAGCGCAACCCUUGUCAUUAGUUGCUACAUUUAGUUGGGCACUCUAAUGAGACUGCCGGUGACAAACCGGAGGAAGGUGGGGAUGACGUCAAGUCCUCAUGGCCCUUAUAGGUAGGGCUACACACGUCAUACAAUGGAUGGUACAAAGGGUCGCCAACCCGCGAGGGGGAGCCAAUCCCAUAAAACCAUUCGUAGUCCGGAUCGCAGUCUGCAACUCGACUGCGUGAAGUCGGAAUCGCUAGUAAUCGUGGAUCAGAAUGUCACGGUGAAUACGUUCCCGGGUCUU
This 484-nucleotide ribosomal RNA is filed under the name uncultured Polaromonas sp. RNAcentral's name for it is "bacterial SSU rRNA". It matches the Rfam family "Bacterial small subunit ribosomal RNA", at positions 897 to 1382 of the family's 1533-position model. The record is from RNAcentral. Lineage: Bacteria; Pseudomonadati; Pseudomonadota; Betaproteobacteria; Burkholderiales; Comamonadaceae.